GGCAGAGGGUGGGAGGAGAUGGGCUGGCCGAGGGGCAGAGAAAAGGCAGGAAGGAAGCUGAUAUAUAAAAAAAAAAAUCUAUCUUGAGAAACAAUUCCUCUCCAUCUUUAAACCUAUGAAACUCAAAAAAUAAAAUCUGCUCUUGAAAUCUAAUGAUUAGACAGGCAUAGAAUACCAGUUAUAGACAUUCUGGCUAAAAGGGGAGAAAAUUUAAAGGAAAAAAGAAGUCACUAGUUCAAAAUAUUUUCAAAAUUCAGCUGUUUAAACUUCCUUUGUAUUACAUAAAAUUAAUUAUUAUUAUAUAAAUAUUAUUUUAUUUAAUGAUGGGAUUAUAGUAUUUCUUUGUGUGUGUAAUAAAACUUGAAACAACCUUACAAUAAAUUUAAUUGCUUAAUCCUUACCUUCCUCCGAGUUAACCUGACAAGUAAACUUUGAUUGGUUUUUUCUAUAAGUAUUUUAGACAUUAAGUUGCCACAUAUUACAUGUUUAUUUUGGUUUAGCUGUGUGUUCCUGGGAUCAAUCUAGCACCAGCUUUCUUUACUGAUAUCUGACUAAAUAUUCUCAGAAUUGGAUACCUUUUUUUUUUUUUUUUUGUCUUUUUAGGCCACAGGCUGGGGUCGAAUCGGAGCUGUUGCUGCUGGCCUACUCUAGAGCCACAGCAAGGCCAGAUCUAGCCAUGUCACGGCAACACCUGAUCCUUAAACCUACUGAGCAUGGCCAGGGAUUGAACCCUCAAUCUCAUGGUUCUAGUUGGAUUCGUUUCCUCUGUGCCACGACAGGAACUCCAGAAUUGGAUACCUUUAAUAUCUUCAUGGAAACUUCAUUUUGGCCUUUUGUCAAGUAUUUGGUGAAGUGCCUGACAUCUCAUUGGUGUUCUACAAACGUUCACCAAAAUAAACAGUGACUCGAAACAUCUGGACAAGAAGAUAAAAUUAAAAAAAAAAAAAACAACAAAGUAGAGGCAUGGCUACCUUCAGUAAGUCCCGAACAGGAAUGCACCAGGCUCAGGCAAUGCCUGUGGCCUCAGGGUUACCCUAAGAGAUAAGAAGGCAAAGGACACAUGACCUUGACUACUUUAUUCCCCUCUUGCACACUGUGAAUGGACCAAACCUAUGUCUGGACCCACCCAAAAGGGAAAACUAUGUUGGACUCAGGUAUGUCGGGGAUGAGAGAGCGAGGUUAGAAUUUGACACCCAAGAAAGAAGAGGUGGAAUAGUGGUUGGAUGUGCGUUUGACAUUUUCUGUCAUUGCUGCCCUUUUCUUCCCUCACAACAUGGUUCUUUGAGCAGGAAGACCCAGGGGAACAUGGCUAGGGAGUAACACAGUUAUUACCUUAAGACAAAGAAAUGAAAGAUACAGAAGAAUCUAAUUCAUGUAUCAAUGCUCACUUGUAACCACUGAAUAAACUUUGGAUGUGACCCUCCA
This 1425-nucleotide long non-coding RNA is filed under the name Sus scrofa (pig). Its description in RNAcentral is "lncRNA (ENSSSCG00015061094.1)". Lineage: Eukaryota; Metazoa; Chordata; Mammalia; Artiodactyla; Suidae. The record is from RNAcentral.